Molecule: unclassified non-coding RNA, 250 nt
Filed under: plant metagenome
Description: partial contains small subunit ribosomal RNA and internal transcribed spacer 1
Source: RNAcentral
AAGGUCGAUAACAAUGGUUUCCGUAAGGUGAACCUGCGGAAGGAUCAUUAAAAGAGAAAAGGGCUUCGGUCCUGACCUCCAACCCUUUGUUUACCUUACCACUGUUGCCUCGGCGGGAUCGUUCGACGCCCUUUAACGGGGCGCCGCCGUCGGCCUUCAAACGCUUUCGAGUGCCCGCCGCCAGGCCCAAUCUAAAACUCUUUGUAAACCCAGGUCUUUCUGAGAGUAAAAUUUUAAUACAUUCAAAAAG